Molecule: ribosomal RNA, 369 nt
Filed under: uncultured bacterium
Lineage: Bacteria
Description: bacterial SSU rRNA
Rfam family: Bacterial small subunit ribosomal RNA
Source: RNAcentral
AGAGGGUGCAAGCGUUAAUCGGAAUUACUGGGCGUAAAGCGCGCGUAGGUGGUUUGUUAAGUUGGAUGUGAAAUCCCCGGGCUCAACCUGGGAACUGCAUUCAAAACUGACUGACUAGAGUAUGGUAGAGGGUGGUGGAAUUUCCUGUGUAGCGGUGAAAUGCGUAGAUAUAGGAAGGAACACCACUGGCGAAGGCGACCACCUGGACUAAUACUGACACUGAGGUCCGAAAGCGUGGGGAGCAAACAGGAUUAGAUACCCUGGUAGUCCACGCCGUAAACGAUGUCAACUAGCCGUUGGAAGCCUUGAGCUUUUAGUGGCGCAGUAACGCAUUAAGUUGACCGCCUGGGGAGUACGGCCGCAAGGUUA